RNAcentral lists this long non-coding RNA (1223 nucleotides) under Marmota monax (woodchuck). Lineage: Eukaryota; Metazoa; Chordata; Mammalia; Rodentia; Sciuridae. The record is from RNAcentral.
GGCACAUACCUGUAAUCCCAGCAUCUUGGGAGGCUAAGGCAGGAAGAUUGAGAGUUCAAAGCCAGCCUCAGCAACUUAAUAAGGCCCUGUCUCUAAAAUAUGAGAAUCCAGGUACAGUGGUAUCCACCUAUAAUCCUAGCAGCUCAGCAGUCUGAAACAGGAAGAUUGCGAGUUCAAAACCAGCCUCAGCAACUCAAUGAGACCCUGUCUCUAAAAAUACAAAAUACAAAAUAGGGCUUCUGGUUGUGGCUCAGUGGUGGAGUGCCCCCAAGUUCAAUCCUGGUACCAAAAUAAAUAAAACAAAAAUCAGAUGCCGGUUCCAGGUGCAAUAGCACAUGCCUGUAAUCCUAGAGAUUUGGGAGGUUGUGACUUAAGGAUCACAAAUUCCAGGCCACCCUCAGCAAUUUAGUAAGGCUUUAAGCAACUUAGCAAGACUCUUUCUCAAAAAAUAAAAAGGUUGUAGCUCAGUGAUAAAGUGCCCCUAGGUUUAAACCCAGCACCAAAAAAUUAAUAAAAUAAAAAAUAGAAACGUUUAUAAUAUCCACUUAAAUUAAAAAUAAAAUCUCCAGAGGAAAACUUGAAUCCAGAAACAAGUUUAUUUCUCCUCAAGGCAAUUUUCAUUCAUUGAAAAUUGCUCUGGUCCAGCCCACAGCCUCCCAAAAUCAAUACAGGUAUUAUGCUCUAACCCGUGGUUCAACCAUUUUGUCCACAUUUACAGAUCUACAUCCUAAACUGGGAAUGAAAAGCAAGCUAGGAACUGGGAGACAGGUGAGCGAGAAAUGAAAGAUGGAGACCAGGCAGAGAUACACAGGAGAGUUUAUUUGUCAGCGCUGACAAAUAAAGGCACAUCUCUCAAUAGACCGAGAGAGGCAAAACAGGCUUGAGGUUCAGAACUUUCAUGGGGCAGGUUCAGGGAUUAGAGCCAGGUGAGUCCUAAUGCUAGUGGUUAAGAAUGGGGUUGGUAUGAAGGAGUGAUGAGCCUUUGUCAGAAAUGCCUUUAGGCAGGAAAUUUAAGAGAAAUUUUUCUUAAAAUGGUGGCUGUCACUUAAGAUAACUGUUCAAAUACUAAGCAAGGAACUUACAGGGAGGAAAGGUUUGACUUUGUUGCCUGCUGAGCAAAAGAGAUGGUGUUGUUUUGACAGUCUGUGGUAUAUGAUUCAUUCAAAGGGGGCUGGUGAGGAAUCUGGAAGGUAGGCAAUCAAUCUGAGACUAGAAGAGAUAUA